RNAcentral lists this ribosomal RNA (161 nucleotides) under uncultured bacterium. RNAcentral describes it as "partial 16S ribosomal RNA". It matches the Rfam family "Bacterial small subunit ribosomal RNA", at positions 355 to 508 of the family's 1533-position model. The record is from RNAcentral.
UGGGGAAUAUUGGACAAUGGGCGAAAGCCUGAUCCAGCAAUGCCGCGUGCAGGAUGAAGGCCCUCGGGUUGUAAACUGCUUUUGUACGGAACGAAAAGCCUGGGGCUAAUACCCCCGGGUCAUGACGGUACCGUAAGAAUAAGCACCGGCUAACUACGUGC